UGUGUAGGUGGUGUCGUAAGUUUGGUGUGAAAUCUCCCGGCUUAACUGGGAGGGUGCGCCGAGGACUGCGAUGCUGGAGUAUGGGAGAGGAAAGCGGAAUUCCUGGUGUAGCGGUGAAAUGCGUAGAUAUCAGGAGGAACACCUGCGGUGUAGACGGCUUUCUGGACCAUUACUGACACUGAGACACGAAAGCGUGGUAGCAAACA
Molecule: ribosomal RNA, 206 nt
Filed under: uncultured bacterium
Lineage: Bacteria
Description: partial 16S ribosomal RNA
Rfam family: Bacterial small subunit ribosomal RNA
Source: RNAcentral